AUGUCCACAGAGGAAUGAUUAAAUAUGUGGUACACCUACAGGCUGGAGUGUAAAAUGUACACAAAAACAAGAAGAAAUGCUCAUGAGAAAACGCAGUGAUAGACGCCUUUUCUAAACAGUUUCUGCUUUGUUUGGGAAAUUCUCAGGACAAAAUGUUGAACCAAACCAGGCACCCUCCGGGAUUCUCCCCCACCAGGAGAUUGGCUCGAGACAACAGUUUACAGCUUAGCUCUGUCCACCAUGGCGUCCUCCAGACUACCCAACUGAGAAGACACAGAAGCAAGUCAGGUGGACCCCGCACCUCCUCACCCCCUCCCCUGCAUGCUUUUCACACCAAGUUCCCUUUUAAAGACUCCACUUUCCUCCCCAAAAGCUGAAGCAAUUCCCUUAAGUCAGGAGCCUGUAUGUUUCCCCUUAACCAAGCUCUGGAAUGAAGUCCCUUUCUUUCUACCAGACCUCUCUCUGUUCAUUGGAUUCUGCAAGAGGCUGGACAUGGGUUCAGUUACGGCCUGACUCAAGAGCCCGUCUCCAACCUCCAUGCUGCACAGGAAGGGAAGAAUGUGACAUGGACUCAUUCUCAACCCAGGACCUGGUGACAAUUCAGUCUAUGGCCUUGGAGACCCUGUCUGCAGGCACGGACGGUGCCAUUAGGCUGGAAAAGGUUGGAACAGAGGGAACCCAGGGGCUGAGGGAAGAAGGACAAAGUCAGGAGGCUUGGAGAGGAGGUCCAGGUGAUGGUCGAGGCCUCUGCUUGGUUUCCCCAGGAAUGGUGACUCUGGGCAGAUGGAACAGCCUCAGCCAAGGCCAUUCAGAGGAUCACAAGGAGCAUGGCUGUCGCGGCACAAGAUGCUCCCGGCAGGGGUGAGUAUGGAGAGGCAGCAGCCACAAGGCCUUCAUCUGCCAGAAAGUGUCUGGACCUGAUCCCGAGGCUGUGGGGAGUCGACAUAGAAGAUCGUUCCUAAUUCUCAUAGCGGCAAGAUUAGGGCUGCAGGGUACUGAUUCUCUCUUCUGCGCCGGGCACCGUGCCAAGCACUUCCCAUGCAUGUGUAGCCUCAGUUCUCUCAGCAGCCUCAGGGGUGGGGACCACUAGUCCCUGCAACUUGCUGAUGAGGAAACUGAGGCUCAGAGAGACAAUGUCACUAGCCCAAAACUGCGUAUCUAGCUAGCAGUGGAGCUUGGCCUGGGCUGCUGACCACAGGGCCACACAGCCAGCCCCUCUCGUCCAGGGUAGUGGCCUGGGCAGGCUGGGGAGCAGCAGGCUGCCCUGCUGGCCCUAGUGGCCCUGGUGAGAGAGGAGCUGAGCCUGAAACCGGAAGCAGGGCCCACGGGGUGAGGAGGGUCUGCAGCUGGCAGGCCUGGUGGGCUGGUACCUGCAACCUAAGUGGGAAGGUAACAGAGCACCUGGCAAUUUGAAUAACAAUGAAAGCUUCCAGAAUGCAGACCCUCUGUGACAAUAACCCUUCCUGCAGACAAAAGCAGAGGAGUCAUGAGGCACAACACGCCUCAUCCCAGGUGAACUGGAGACAAUGUGUUCCCCAGCAGCGGCAGUGGCUUCUGUUAGUUGGCGCUGACUGUAUGCACGUGGGGUAUGGGGCUGGGAGCCUUCACGUAUUUUUUUUUUUGAGAUGGAGUCUCUGUCACCCAGGCAAUGGCGCGAUCUUGGCUCACUGCAAUCUCUGCCACCCGAGUUCAAGCGAUUCUCCUGCCUCAGCCUCCCAAGUAGUAGGGAUUACAGGCACCCAACACCAUGCCCAGCUAGUUUUUUUAUUUUUAGUAGAGACAGGGUUUCACCAUGUUGGUCAGGCUGGUCUCAAACUCCUGACCUCAGGUGAUCCACCCGCCUCGGCCUCCCAAAGUGCUGGGAUUACAGACAUGAGCCACCGUGCCCGGCCGCCUUCAUAAAUUUUUCUAAGGGAUUCUCACAGGGACCAGAAAGGGGGAGAUGCUAUUAAUCCUACUUUGUAAAUGUGUCCCUGCAAACAGUACAGGGACAUCAAGGAACCUAUUUGGGGCAAGAUGGCCAUCCCAAGGAACGCUACCUCAAUACGGAGAAAGAGACUCUGCUGACACGAUAGAGUUGAGGGUUUUGGCAGAGGGAGAUGAGGCUGGAUUAACUGGCUAGGCCUGAUGCCAUCACAGGGUCCUAAGUGAGAAAGGCAGGAGGCUCAGAGUCAGCAGAGGGGAUGUGGCCACGGGAGCAGAGGUCGGAGAGAUGUCCUUGCAUCUGGAAGGGGCCAAAAGCCGAGGAAUGUGGGUGCCUCUGGGAACUGGAGCAGGCAAGGAAAUGGACUCACCCCCGCAGCCUCCAGCAGGGCCCCGUGCUGCUGAUGCCUUGACAUGAGGUGUUCAUGAGUCUCCUUUCCAACUGCUGUCCUCCGGAUCUGUACAAGACUAAAUCUAUGUUGUUUUAAGCUACUGCAUUUAUGAUAGUUUAUUACAGCAGCUACGGGACACUCAUAUAAUACCCAAGAGAGAUGUGUGCAUUCAUUUCACCAGGAGACCUGGAUGCGAAGGUUCACAGCAGCUUUACUGAUGACGGUUAGAAGGUGGAAAUAACUGAAGUUUCCUCAAAAGGUGAUGGAGGAACAUGGCGUGGUACGUCCACACGAUGCAAUGGGCACAGAUCCAGGCUGAUAACUAUCACUGGGCACAGAUCCAGGCUGGGGCCAAGAUGGGAACCUUUAUCUUUUGCUUCCUGGCCAGAGUGCUCUGCCCCAGCACCUGCCUUGUCAAAGCCCUGGUGGACCCGUGGGAUCGCCCAGUUCUUGCACCUUCACUGGGAGGAAAGCAGAGACGAUGACUCCAUUUUACAGUUGGGUAAAGUGAGGCUCAGGGCCAUGCUGCCCAGGGAGGAGCUGAAGAGAGACCCGAGGCCUGCUGGGGACCAGAUCUUCUCAAUGGUGGUUCCUUUUGGUAUCCUCUCUACAAGCCCAGUGCAGAGCCUGGCACGUGGGAGAGCUUUAUGGGAGUUUGCUGAAUAAAUGGCAGAGAGCAGGUGUGGUGUGAGCUCUGGUGGCUGGACUCACCUUCCCAUCCCCUGCAGACCUGUCCUCCUGACAGGGUCCAAUGUGCAAGGGUUUGGGGCACAGUUGGAGUGUCCUGACGGAUGUAGUCACUCUCAGGGGAUGUCAGUCCACGGACACAGAUGCAGCAAGGUCCCUGGAGCCCUGCCGGCCUCCCUGCAUACCCUCUGCGCUCUGAGGAAUGCUCUCUGCCGGGAUGGGGCACCUCGGGCAUGGCAUGGGAGGCCUCUAAUGUGGCCCAAGAUGUUUAAACAGAGUCCUACAGGCCCCAGCCUGAAUUGGGCCCUUGGACGAGGUCCCCAACACACACACACCAGAGCCCCAGCAAUUCACAAGCCGUGUGACCUUGGACGACGUCCCCAACACACACACCAGAGCCCCCAACACACACACACACACCAGAGCCCCCAAAACACACACACCAGACCCCAACACACACACCAGACUGUUGACUUUUUCCUUCUGCCCUCAGUCCCCCCAUCUGUAAAAUGUGGCUGCUCACAGCCCCCUACUCUGAUUCUACAUUGAGGCCUGUAGUAUGCAGCCCUAAGACAGCCUCCAAAGAAUCCACCUGCAGCUACUCACACCCUCCUUUGGUACCCAAAGGAGAACAAAGGAUAGGGACAGAACCAAGUGGCUCACUUGUAACAAAUGGAUAGAAUAGAAGUGACAGGCAUGGGAUGUCCCUUCCAAGGUUAGGCUCCAAAAAAGUGGGUUCCACUGGGCUCUGCACCUUGAACUCUCUCUCCCAGAGCCCUCUUUUUGGGUGGUCAGCUGUCAUGCCAUGAGCUACCCUGCGGAGAGGCCCACCCAGUGAGCAACUGACACCGCCAGCCAACACGUGAACCUACUACCAGCCACCUGAGUGAGCUGGGAAGUGUAUCCUCUCCAGCAGAGCCUUGAGAAUGACCACAGUCUCAGCCAAUGCUUUGACUGCAGCCUCCUGAGAGAGCCCAAGCCAGGAGACCCAACAAAGCCACACCAUGACUUACACCUUUCUGACUCACAGAAAGGGUUAAACGCUUGUUUUAAGCUGCUGACUUGUGGGGUACCUUGUUACACAGCACCAGCUAGCUAAUACAAAGCCUCAGGGCAGUGCUAGAGAUUCUGGGAGAGGGAGGAUCUUGGAGAUUGUGCAUCUGGACAUCCCUCUACUCUACCCUCAGGGAACGAGCCUCUGACCUUGGCCUGCACACCCCAGUGAUGGGGAGCUCCCUGCUUACUGAGGCCAGCAAAUCUGCUGUGGAGCCAGGCUGCCUGGGAAGGUCUUCCCUCUGCCUCCUGCUUCCUCUUCCUACUGGUGCCAGCAUGGCUCUGGGGGUUCCCUGGCACCAGCCCCAUCCUUCAGGGAUGUGUGGGUUCCCCCAGAGUGAGCUGGCGUCUGGAUCAGGCUUCUCUGCAUCACAGUUUCAUCCCCUUUUCUGCUUUUUUCUGCUUCAGGGGAGAGUUGUUGGGAGGCAAGUGAGGGCUCGGGCCCAGCCCUGCCAUUCAGUGUGCACCUGGCAGAGAGGACCCCAGGAUGCACCAAUCUUCACUCAGCCUUAGCUCAAAGUCACCAUCUCCACCCGCCUCAGUUUACUCAUCUGCUACAUGGAGAUUUCUGUGAGGACAUGAAACACUGCAUGUAACAACACUUGGCACACAGAAAGCACUCAAGAAAUGUAUGUCUAUUGAGUCGGGAGAAAACAUAUUCAAAGCGGGGCCGCGGAGAUGCUUGAGGGAAUUUUUACUUUGUCUUUAGCAAAAUAUCUUGCUGGGCCAUCUAGAUGGAUGCAGAUGGGGAGGGGACGAGGCAGUGGGGGUGUGUGUGUGUUUCUUGGGGGGGCUCUGUCUGUUGGGGGGCUCUGGUGUGUGUGUUGGGGGCUCUGGUGUGUGUGUUGGAGGCUCUGGUUUGCGUGUUGGGGGCUCUGUGUUGGAGGCUCUGGUGUGUGUGUGUGUGUUGGGGGCUCUGGUUGUGUGUGUGUGUGUGUUGGCGGCUCUGGUGUGUGUCUUGGGAGGCUCUGGUGUGUGUGUGUGUGUGUUGGCGGCUCUGGUGUGUGUGAGUGCUGAGAGCUCUGAUGUGUGUGUGUGUUGGGGGCUCUGGUGUGUAUGUUGGGGGCUCUGGUGUGUGUGUGUUGGGGGCCCUGGUGUGUGUUGGGGGCUCUGGUGUGUGUGUGGUGGGGGCUCUGUGUGUGUUGGAGGCUCUGGUGUGUGGGUUGGGGGCUCUGGUGUGUUUUGGGGGCUCUGGUAUGUGUUGGGGGCUCUGGUGUGUGUGAUGUGGGCUCUCAUGUAUAUGUGUUGGAGGCUGUGGUGUGUGUGUUGGAGGCUGUGGUGUGUGUGUUGGGGGCUCUGGUGUGUGUGUUGGGGACUCUGGUGUGUGUGUGUUGGAGGCUCUGGUGUGUGUGUGUGUUGGGGGCUCUGGUGUCUGUGUUGGAGGCUCUCGUAUGUGUGUUCGGGGCUCUGGUGUGUGUAUUGGGGGGCUCUGGUGUGUAUGUCUUGGAGGCUCUGGUUUGUGUGUUGGGGGGCCCUGGUGUGUGUGUGUGUGUUGGGCGCUCUGGUGUGUGUGUUGGGGGCUCUGGUGUGUGUGUAUGUUGGGGACUCGUGUGUGUGUUGUUGGGAGGCUCUGGUGUGUGUGUGUGUUGGGGGCUCUGGUGUGUGUGUUGGGAGGCUGUCGUGUGUGUGGGGGGGCUCUGGUGUGUGUGUGUGUAUGUUGUGGGGCUCCGGUGUGUGUGUUGGGAGGCUCUGGUGUGUGUGUUGGAGGCUCUGGUGUAUAUCCUGGGGUCUCUGGUGUGUGUGUUGGGGGCUCUGGUGCGUGUGUGUGGGGGGGCUGUGUAUAUUGGGGGCUCUGGUGUGUGUGUGGGGGGCUGUGGUAUGUGUGUUGGAGGCUCUGGUGUAUGUGUCGGGGGGCUCUGUGCGUGUGUACUGGUGACUCUGUUGUGUGUGUGUUGGAGGGCUUUGGUAUGUGUGUUGGGCCCUGUGUGUGUGUGUAUUGCGGGCUCUGGUGUGUUGGGCUCUGGUGUAUAUGUUGGGGUCUCUGUGUUGGGGGGCUCUGGUGUAUAUGUUGGGGUCUCUGUGUUGGGGGCUCUGGUGUGUUAGGGGGCUCUGGUGUGGGAGGCUCUGGUGUGUGUGUUGGGGGCUCUGUUGUGUGUGUGUAUUGGGGGCUCUGGUGUGUUGGGGGGCUCUGGUGUGUAUGUUGGGGGCUCGUGUGUGUGUUGGAGGCUCUGGUGUAUGUGUUGGCUCUGUGUGUGUUGAAGGGCUCUGGUGUGUGUGUGUUGGCUCUGGUGUGUGUGUGUGUGUGUGUGUGUGUGUGUGUUGGGGGCUCUGGUGUGUAUGUGUUGGAGGCUCUGGUGUAUGUGUUGGCUCUGUGUGUGUUGAAGGGCUCUGGUGUAUGUGUGUUGGCUCUGGUGUGUGUGUUGGGGGCUCUGGUGUGUGUGUGUGUCUGUUGGGGGCUCUGGUGUGUAUGUGUUGGAGGCUCUGGUGUGUAUGAGUGUUGGGGGCUCUCGUGUGUGUAUAUGUGUUGGAGGCUCUGGUGUGUGUGUGUUGGCUGUGGUGUGUGUGUUGGGGGCUCUGGUGUGUGUGUUGGGGGCUCUGGUGUGUAUGUUGGGGGCUCUGGUGUAUGUGUUGGGAGCUCAGUGUGUGUGUAUUGGGGGCUCUGGUGUGUGCGUGGAGGGCUGUGGUAUGUGUGUUGGAGGCUCUGGUGUAUGUGUUGGGGGGCUCUGGUGUGUAUGAGUGUUGGGGGCUCUAGUGUGUGUGUCAGGGGCUCUGUGUGUAUUAGGGGCUCUGGUGUGUGUGUUAGGGGGCUCUGGUGUGGGAGGCUCUGGUGUGUGUGUUGGGGGCUCUGUUGUGUGUGUGUAUUGGGGGCUCUGGUGUGUUGGGGGGCUCUGGUGUGUAUGUUGGGGGCUCGUGUGUGUGUUGGAGGCUCUGGUGUAUGUGUUGGCUCUGUGUGUGUUGAAGGGCUCUGGUGUGUGUGUGUUGGCUCUGGUGUGUGUGUGUGUGUGUGUGUGUGUGUGUUGGGGGCUCUGGU
Molecule: long non-coding RNA, 7026 nt
Filed under: Pan troglodytes (chimpanzee)
Lineage: Eukaryota; Metazoa; Chordata; Mammalia; Primates; Hominidae
Description: long non-coding RNA NONPTRT009583
Source: RNAcentral